CCCGCCCAUCCCCAUCACACAGAGAAUGUGACCUCUGCGGGACUGGACUCCGGAAGGACCGUACCUCCUGGACUUACCCACAGAAGAACUGCGAAAGAGCUCGGGAGGAGAAGGAUGAAAACUUUAAGGAACAAUGAAGGAGAGAGGUGCCGCUCUGAACCGGACUAAGGUGCAGAACUGGAGUGAGCUGCCGCUCUUUCCCCACCGAAUUUGAAUGCUGUAAUGAGUAAAAGCUUAUGACCACAAGGCAAACAGAGUUUUUAGAGAACUCCUUUUUCAGGUGGGCCACUCUUGUCUCUCCUACAGCCCUUCCUGCUGUCUCUUUGGGUAGGUGCACUCACAGUUCACCUUGGCUUGUGUGGAGCUCUCUACUCACCAGGGACUGGAUUUCUCUUCAUUUUCCAGUGUGGAAGACAUAUGUGGAGUCAGUCAUUCCAGGACCCAGAUCACUCCUCUUUCUCUUUCAAUGUGAACAAGUAUCCUAAGAAAAAGUGUUAGUGUUUGUUUUCUGGAGGGCUUUGACAUAGCACUUCGAAGCAGGCAGCACUGGUUUCUGCACACCGUUUCAAUGGCUUUUGGAUGCCCAGGAGAAAUUCGCCAAUAACUCCAAAAGCAGCUUCAACAUUUGCCUUCCUGCCCUCCGAAGAGAUUCACCAACAUGCACACACCUGUCCUUGGGCGGUGCAGGUUCAUGCUAGGUGGGUUGUUUAACAGGGUAAUAGGUUUAAGUUCCGUUCCCAUCUUAUCUAGUCUAUAAUUUAUUUUUUUUCAAAAAUAAAUCCCAAAUAUUCUAUUGCCAUCUCACACAUACCGACGCAGAGCCUAAAAAGAGGUACAGUCACGGAGCUGCUAUGAUGGCUCAGGUUCAUCUUCCAUCACACUAGUGCUUGGCUGGGGAAAUCUCUCUCUGUGAAACAAGCAGGACUUCUGAGGGGAGCAGAGGCCAGCCACUGGAAAAAACUUUAAAUUCAUCCUCAUAAGAACAGAAUGGUUUUGCAAUAGUGUUCUGAUUUUAUAUUUAUACUUUAUACCUUUGACAUUUUAUGAACAAAUUUAAGGAGUAGCAAGAGUGUUGGCAGCCCUUGGAAAUACGAAAUGGUUAAGCAGUAUCUUAAUUCGAAGAGGCAGAAAGUGAAACCUCACAGUCUAAGGUCGACAUCUCAAUAAGAUGAUAAUAAAGGGAGAGGAAGGCCUACAUUUUAUUUAUAUUUUAUCAGAGGUUAUCUCUGCAGAAUUUGAAGCACAACAAAUACUAUUCUAAAGAAAAUGUUCAUCACCUGAAAAUGAAAUUACUUCCCCCAGCAAAAUGUCCACACUCUCUCUCCUCGGGCUCCUCCAAGCAGCUGAGAAACAGGAGAUACUUUACAUGCCCUCAUAUGACUCAUUUAACUAUUAAACAAUCAGAUGUAGCUCUAAUUCACUGACACCCCCUCUCAUGGGAUAGACAUUCAUCCAUCCAUCCAUCCAUCCAUCCAUCCAUCCAUCCAUACACACAUACAUGCACACAUACAUACACACACACAUACACACAUACAUACACACACAUACAUACACACACAUACAUACACACAUAUAUACAAACAUACAUACAUACACACAUAGAUAUACACAUACAUACAUAUGCACAUACACACAUACAUAUAUAUACAUAUACACAUGCAUGCAUGCACAUAGACAUGCAUGCAUGCUUAUUUAUUUAAAAGGACAAUAGACAAUAAUUUGAGAAGAAAAUGCAGUUGAGAUCUUAUUUACAGGAUCUAGCCUGGGGAAUAUGCUUAAGAAGAAAAACUGAUUAUUAUGAUAAGCACUACUUUGGCUUAUAAGAAAGCAAAGAGCAAAACCUCACAGUCUUCCUGGCAGGCUUGAGACGUCUCUCAGAGUCACUCUCUGGAAGCAAAUUGCUCUCAUCCUAAUGUCAACUGUACAACAAAAGAGAGACUUUUAAAAGUCGACAAUAUUCAAAAUGGCCCACCAAAGUAUUUGUGAAUUCCCCCAAUUCCACGGAUGUAGCAACAGACUUGUUUUGAUGUAAAACUAAGAGAUGACUUUAAUGACCCAGCUACUUCCUAAACAACUUUUGUAAGUUUGCAUCUAUAGAAUAAAAGAAAUCUUAUCUUUGGCUAUAAAAUGGAGGUGUCUUUGAGAAUCUAAGCCAACAUUUAUUCUGAUCAAAAAAAAAAAAAAAAAAAACACCACUUGUCAUCUCUUCAUAUUUGAGAGGCAGAAUUUAAUGUGUUUAUCUUGGUUGAAUUCUUUGGAGGCUGGAUGUAUAUAGUGUGAAAGACAUGACACUUGAUUUACCGUCCACUGACUGCUCGUCUGUGAGUCUGGAUUGUGCUAAGAAAGUUUACAUUCCUGUGUGGCUGAGAGCCAGGUCUGGUAGACAGUGAAGUAGCCAGAGAACUGUUGAGGGCUGAGCAUGGUUUGUUCUGUUUUUAUUUCUCUAAAGUCCUUGACUUCCAAUGCAUUUACAUUGUCUAAUUUUCUUUUUCCUGAACCCUGACUCUGGUAUUCUAAUCCAAGAAAUGGGUAGAAGCAUUCCAAUCAAAGUUCAAACGUGUUUUUCUCAUUUGGUUAGGCCCCUAACCCGUGAAGAUGAGGCCAAGUGUUGGUGACAAGGGACAAAAAGCAUCUCUUAUGGUGACUAGCUUCUAGAAGCUUCUUGGGACAUGAUAACAAUUACUAUCUUAUGCAAAAAUAUUAAACUUCUUAGCUAAGGGGCAUUCACCAUAUUAUUGGUCUUCUCAGUUCCUAGACUUCUGUAAAAUUUCGUGUGCAUUCUUGUAAGAUAAUUAUAUCCUGUAUUGUCCGCUAGACUAAACAUCUGAAAAUUCAAAUUUUAUCUAAUUUCACACAGGAGUAAAUGGAAUGUUUUGCUCACAAUAGAUAUUUAUUAACGGGGAUCAAGUUGAUUUAAAUUAAACAAGGAAGUCAGUCUUAAACACAAUGUUUACAACAUUAAUUUAAGUUGUUGAUAAAGAGAAAAUUCUGAUCACGCUACUUAAUAUUAUUGUUUUCAUCAUAUGUAUAAAUUCAGAAAAGAUUUCUGUAACAUGGUGUAAAGGUUUAUUUUGUCAUCUGUCUUCAUGAGUGCAUCCUAAGUUUUUAGAGUCCUCCUCUGGUUUGCCAUCUUCAGCUCUGCCUCAAAGACUAGCACAUACUGAGUCCUUCAUAGCUAUUUGCUACAGGAAGGGCUAAAAGCAAAAAAAAUACAUGAUUGGAAAGAUGCAAAGAACAGUUGAUCAAAAUAAAAUCAUUAUUAUUUAAAACCACUAGCUGUCUGAGACAAUAAAGAUGGAAAAAAUUGAGGCCAUUGUAUUUUUUUGACACAAACUAGAAUUAUGACAGUUUCCUGUAAUGUACAGAAAUAUUGAGAUUUCUGUAAUGUUCAUGGUGGUAAACACGUUUAGGCAAAUGUGAUGUGUUAUUCAGUCACCCCUCAUAUCUGACAUCAAAUAUCCUUGAGAGUCUAUAAUGAAGAAACAUUUUAGAUAAUAUUUGAUAGGAAAAUAGCUUUUCCUAAUUAUGCCUUAAAAUACCCAAGGGAAUAUUAAAAAGACAAAAUAUGACAGACAAAAAAAUAAAAUAAAAAAUAAGACUAGAGUCUUAGACUGUUGUUUGAGCCACAGGUAGACUAAAUUCCUCGGCCUUACUAGUUUUCACUGUAUGACAGGUAAGAUAACUAGGAAGACAUCUUAGCUCCUCAACCCUAGUAUGUCUACAUUCAGAAUGUCAACUGAAGGAAGGAAUUCAUUUGUUUGAGACUUUUAAAAAUUUGUUUAUAUUAAUUAAUUAAUUAAUAAUUGUGUGGAAAUCAGAGGACUUUUAGGAAUAAGCUGAAGAUUAUUGUCCUCUGUGUCCAAGGGCAACAUACCAUGGAGGUCAGUAGUGUGCCAUCCAAUCAUUUGUAAUGAGGGCCAGGUUUGCACAAAUCGAUGAGAAACGACAAAUACUGUGAGAAGAAAGAGCAAAGUAUCACCCAUUUAAAGGCUCAGAGAAAGAGAGUAUUUCCAAAAGUAAUUUGUGUUUAUUUUUACUUAUUUAUUUUUUGAGAUGAAGUCUUACUGUGUAGCUUUGACUGACCUGGAAUUGCUACGUAGACCAGGCUGGCCUCCUCACUGAGAUCUGCCCGCCUUUGCCUCCCAAGUGCUGGGUUUCAAGGUGUGCACCUCCACACUUACUGGAAACUGAUUUCUGAUGAGACUCAAGAGAACCUGUUUGCUUUGCAUACUCAGGGAAAUGCAAGCAGCAAGAGCUGCUGCUUUGGAGCAGGAUUGGUAUUGGAUGGGGAACAAAGAAAGACCUGAAGGAGAGGCAAUUCGGGCAAGGAAGAGUUUUAGCAAAACAAAACAUAACAGGAAAAUGACAAACUCCAUUUUAAAAGUUGUCGCCAUCACGAGACCUCGAGCAGUCUGAUGUGUGAAGCGGCAAGGGCACCCACUGUGCUGGACAAGGAAAAAGGGGUGAAAAGUAAUGGAAAAGAACGUGAAAGAUCCAAAUAACAGACUGCUGAAACGUGUGAGGCAGACAUGGUAAAUAAAGAUACGGUGGGAAAAAACCUUCCCAGGUUACCUGUGUGUGCAGAUUUGUGUGUAGAUUGAGAGGGUCUUCCUACAUGCAUGAAUGUAUCACAUGCAUGCAGUGCACAUGGAAGCCAGAAGGGGGUGUUGGAUCCCCUGGAAUGGAGUUACAGGUGGUGGUGAGCUGCCAUGUGGGUGCUGGGAACUGAACUAAAGUUCUGCGAGGGAGCUCCUAAACCAUCACUGAGUCCCCCUCUCCCCCUCCCUCUAUUCUUUCUUUCUCUCUCUCUCUUUCUAUCAAGCCCAGGGUUCAUGAAGGAGCAAGUGGUGCUUUACCACUGAGGUGCGUCCCCACGGACGGCUUUAGAUGGCAGACACAUCAGAAGAACGACUCUGCACUUCCUUCCUCUUUCUCCAGCUCUUAACUUUUCUCUGUCACAAAACAGCACACUUCACAAGUCUCUGUCUUCCCCUCAUGGUUAAACGGAAUCUCGUGUGAGAUCUAAUGACCUAACUCUAGUUUGUGAGCUAUUCAAUAGAAAUUAUGGCUGGACCUUAUUUUCUAGAAAAGGCUCUUUAAUGGCAAUAUUUUUUUCUUUUUCCUCACUUCUCCCCAUUAAUGCUUCUUGUCCUGAGUGUGAUACCUUCGUGGAUUAGGAGACUUAAGAGGGUUAACACUUUCAAGUCUCAACACUUAUUAGUUAUUGAAUUUGUAUUUUCUGACUCAAAUUAUAUAUUUGCUUUAAUACUUCUUAAUUUUGCAGUUACUUCAUGGUUUUUCAGAAAAUGAUGCUUAUGUCUUAUUUUUGUUCGUUUUUCAUUCAACUCUUUAAUGUGGAAUUAUCCUACAUGAAUAUAUUUAUAUCUGAAAAAAAAGUUGUAACAUUUAGUUGACAGGAUGGAUUUUAAACUGAUCUUUUUCGAGACAGGGUCUAUUUGUGUAGCCCUGGCUGAUCUGCUCCUUGUAAUUCUCUUACCCAUAGUUUCAGCUACAGUGUGUGUGUGUGUGUGUGUGUGUGUGUGUGUGUGUGUGUGUGUGUAAUUGUAUAUGAAUGUGUGUGUGUGCAUGCGUGUGUGCGUGUGAUUGUAUAUGAGGGUAUGUAUAUGUGUUUGUGAGCAUAUGACUGUAUAUGGGAUUGUGUGUAUGUGUGUGUGUGUGUGUUUGUAUAUGAAUGUGUGUGUGUGCGCGUGUGUGCGUGUGAUUGUAUAUGAGGGUAUAUAUAUGUGUUUGUGAGCAUAUGACUGUAUAUGGGAUUGUGUGUGUGUGUGUGUGUGUGUGUGUGUGUGUGUGUGUGUUGCCAGUGGUGUUGGGAUCUAACUUAGGGUCUCAGGUAUUGCUAGGCCAGUGCUCUACUACUGAGCUAAGCUGGAAGCACCAGUACGCACAUUUUAAAAAAUGUAUUUCUACAGAAUUUGAAGCUCAUGAUCAGAUUGCCUAAUGGUACAAGGAGCUUCUCCUAGAUCCCAUUUACCCAAUUUCAUCUAUUAUUUAUAUGUUGCCCCAUUUACUUUACUAUUGGCUGUAUCUAAUUAUUUAUGCACACUUGCAUAUUUUUCUUGAAAUAUUUAAAAAUACAUUUGAGACAUUGUGCCCCUUACCCUUAAAUAUUUCACCAUAUCUGUCUAGGAAAGGAAAAUUAAAAACUAAACCUUUACUCUCUUUUAAGUAAUAAAAUCCAUCAUUGAAAUCUAGAAAAUUUAGCUUAGAAAAAGUAUUAACUAAUAUGAUGUACAUAUACAAAUUUCAUUCACAAUGCUGUUGUUUCUUUUUAACUCAUACACUCCUGUCUCCAUAGAGGGCACAAUUCAGAAUUGUGCCUUGUAUUUUGUUGUCCUAAUUAGCUUCAGUUGUCUUCCUGACUUACAUCAACGGAGGAACUGCUUCGAUCCGUUUUUCCUUUCUUUUUUCCCCCUUCUAUUGAAAAUGGAUUUUUUUUUUUUAGCACAUGUUGUACCCUGAUUAGGGUUUCCCCUCUCUCCACUUUUCCCAGUUCCUUCCUACCUCCUGUCCCAUCCAGAUCUACCCACUUUCUGUCUCUCAGUAGAAAACAAACAGGCUUCUAAGGUUUUAUAAUAAAAUAAAAUGUAAGAUAAAACAAAAAAUAACACUUUGGAAGUGGGCCAAACAAACAUAAGGAAAAGAGCCUAUGAGAAGGCACAAGAAAUAGAGAUCCACUCUUUCAUACACUCAGGAAUCCCAUAAAACCACUUAACUGGAAGCUAUAAUAUGUACACAGAGGCCUUGGCGUCGAUCCAUGCAGGCCCUGUGUGUGCUGCCUCAGCCUUGUCAGUUUAUAUGUACUUUGAUUACACUGACGUAGAGGGCCUUGCUCUCCUGGUGUCCUCCACCCCCUCUGGCUCUUACACUCUUUCUGUCUUCUCCUCUUCAGGGUUCUCUGAGCCCUAGUGGGAGGGAUUUGAUGGAGAACAUUCUGUUUAUGGCUGAGUGUUCUAAGGUCUCUCAUUCUCUGCACAUUGUCUGGCUGCGGGUCUCUGUAUUUGUUCCCGUCUGCUGCAGGAGGAAGCUUCUCUGAUGAUGACUGAUCAAGACACUGAUCUAUUAUGCCUCCUCACUCCCUGGAUUAUGCAGUGCUCAAGAACUUUACCAGCUGAGCUCCAGAUCCAUGGGUAUCCCCUUUCAGAAAGGAGCACCACUGAAGGGACACCACUGAAGGGAGCACCACUGAAUGGACAUCACUGAAGGGAGCGCCACUGAAUGGACACCACUGAAGGGAGCACCACUGAAUGGACAUCACUGAAGGGAGCGCCACUGAAUGGACAACACUGAAGGGAGCACCACUGAAAGGACAACACUGAAGGUACACCACUGAAGGGAGCAGCACUGAAGGGACAACACUGAAUGGAGCACCACUGAAUGGAGCACCACUGAAAGGAGCACCACUGAAUGGAGCACCACUGAAGGGACACCACUGACAGGAGCACCACUGACAGGAGCACCACUGAAUGGAGCACCACUGAAGGGACACCACUGAAAGGAGCACCACUGAAUGGAGUACCACUGAAUGGAGUACCACUGAAUGGAGCAUCACUGAAUGGACACCACUGAAGGGAGCACCACUGAAGGGACACUACUCCAGCCAUUAGAGAAUUCAAUGUGGAGGUCAAACAAAAUCUAGGACUGGAUCUACCACAUGACCCAGCUAUACCUCUUCGGGGUGUUGACCCAGAAGACUCCAAGUCAACAAAUCACAGAGAUAGCUGCUCAGCAAUGCUUAUUGCAGCAUUAUUCACAACAGCUAAGUUAUGGAAACAACCUGAGUUGCUGUUUCAACAACAGAACAACAGUUCAAGAAAAUGUCAAAUUCCACAUAAAGGAACUUUUUAAACUAUAUAGAAGAAUUCAGUUAUGCCAAUUGUGAGGCAAUAAGUAAACUAAGCUAGUCUCAGAAAGAUAAAUACAUUUUCUCUUAUUGUUUCUUUUAUUUUAUGUUGCUGUAGGAUAAUCCUCUUGUACACUGUAAAGAUCUGUCACCUGAAUUGGUUUAAUAAAACUCUGAUUGGCCAGUAGCCAGGCAGGAAGGACAGGUGGGACAACCAAAUUAAGGAUGAUGGGAAGGAGAAGGGCAGAGUCAGGAGUUGCCAGCCAGAAGCAGAGGGAGCAGGCAGGGAAGUAGAAGAAAAACUGUAAGGGGGCAAAGAAGUUCUGUGGGAUUGUGGGGCAGGAUUGGUGUAGGGGGGAAAAUUGUCAGUGUCCAGUAUAUGUUCAUAUGAAUUGUGUAAUAUCAUUGUGAUAUCAGUGACAUACAUAAUCAAUAUACAAUGAAAAAAAUUUUAAUUAAAGAUUUAGAAGAGUUCUGCCUUCUGUUUUAAAAAAAUACAUACUUUUUUUUUUUUUUUUUAUGAGACAGGGCCUCCUUCUGUAGUCCUGGAUUUUGCUGUGUACCCUAGGUUGGUCUCAAACUCAGGUCAAUCUUCCUGCCUCAGUCUCCUGAGUCUUGAAAUUCCAGAUGUGUAACAUCGUUCCUGACUCCCAAAUACCUUCUUAUGCUUUAUUCAGUUCCAUUCAAAGCUUUUGUUUCAUGCCAGUUAUGCAGAAGGGAUAGAAUUCAUUCAUUACUUCUUAAUAUAAAGAAAAUGCAGUGAUGCAGAAAAUAUAAUCUAUUGAAAUGUUGGUUGCUAUAGAAUUCUGCAGUCAAGGCUCAUGCAGAGUGAUCUCUAAGUCCUGUGGUGUUGUGUUUCUUUCUCUCUGGCUUUAAAAUGUGUAUGUAGUUCAGCUCAGGCACUCUCUCAACCACUGCCAGUAGUCUAUAAUGGAGGUAUCUUUGUGGAUUUCUGGGGACCUCUCUAGCACUCUGCUUCUUCCUUUUCUCCUGGGGUCUUCAUUUAUCAUGGUAUCUCUUUCCUUGUUCUCCCACUCUGUUCCUGAUGCAACUGGGACCUUCCGCUCCCCUAAGCUUGCUUUCCCCCGACCCUUGCCCUCCAUUACCUACCUCACCCCCAGUUUGCUCAUGUAGAACUCAUCCAUUUCUCUGUCGCUGGGUGAUCCCUGUGUCUUUCUUAGGGUCCUCUUUAUUAGGUAGCCUCCCUGGAGUUAUGAGUUGCAGUCUGGUUAUCCUUUGCUUUACAUCUAGUAUUCACUUAUGAGUGACCUACUCUGCUGAUCUGAUGGUCGAACACCCUGUCAUGAUAGAACUCUCAUCCAGUGACUGGUGGAAGCAGAUGCAGAGAUCCAUGGCCAAACCCCAGGUGGAGCUCCAGGAGUCCAACCAGAAAGACAGAGGAUCCCUAUAUGAGCAAGAGAUAUCGAGACCAUGAUUGGAAAAAGCACAGGGACAACUAGCCAAACUAGCGGAAACACAUGAACUGUGAACCAAUAGCUGAGGAGCCCCCAUGGAACUGGACCAGGCCCUCUGGAUAAGUGAGACAGUCGAUGAGCUUGAACUGUUUAGGAGGCCCCCAGACAGUGGGACUAGAACCUGUCCUUGAUGCAUGAACUGGCUUUUUGGAACCUAGUGCCUAUGCUGAGACACUUUGCUCAGCCUUGGUGCAGGGAGGAGAGGACUAGACCUGCCUCAACUGAAUCUACCAGGCUGGGCUGAAUCCCCAUGGGAGACCUUGC
Long non-coding RNA from Peromyscus californicus insignis, 9600 nucleotides. RefSeq lists it as uncharacterized. The transcript is spliced from 5 exons. Lineage: Eukaryota; Metazoa; Chordata; Mammalia; Rodentia; Cricetidae. The record is from RefSeq and is a predicted model, not a curated record.